UUACGUUGUUAUCCCUAAGGUAAUUUAAUCUUAUAAUCAAAAUAAAUGGAUCAAAAAUAUAUACAUAAAUAUAUAAAAACAAAGAGGAGUUAAAUAAUAUUCCUCCCAUCACCCCAACAAAACAAUUCACUCCCACUCAAUGUAAAUAAACACAAACAACGAAUUAAAUAGGAAAAUUGUCAAACUCUAUAGGGUCUUCUCGUCCCAUAAAAACAUUUAAGAAUUUUAACUCAAAAACCAAAUUCAAUAAACCAAUACCUCUAAGACAGCUUAUGUCUCGUCAAGCCAUUCAUACCAGAUCACAAUUAAAGAACUAAUGAUUAUGCUACCUUUGCACGGUCAAAAUACCGCGGCCCUUCAACUCUAAGUCAGUGGGCAGGCCAUACUUCAAAAACUAACAAGAAAAGAUGUUUUUGAUAAACAGGCG
RNAcentral lists this ribosomal RNA (427 nucleotides) under Nasutitermes costalis. Its description in RNAcentral is "partial 16S ribosomal RNA". The record is from RNAcentral. Lineage: Eukaryota; Metazoa; Arthropoda; Insecta; Blattodea; Termitidae.